This 2353-nucleotide long non-coding RNA is filed under the name Homo sapiens (human). RNAcentral's name for it is "HSALNT0319355". Lineage: Eukaryota; Metazoa; Chordata; Mammalia; Primates; Hominidae. The record is from RNAcentral.
ACUUGUUUAUAAGUGUAUCGCCGAGAAAUGUAUAAAAUAAUCGAGACCGGCGGAGGCAGGUCAGAGCCGUCUGGAAUGCGCGCACCUUCAACGUAAGUAGCCGGCGCGGCCGCUCAGGGUUCGAGCCCCCACCUUGGCCGGGCAGGGGACACCUUGGCCGGGCACCUCCCGGGCUUCCGACAAAAAGGCCUCGGACUUUAUUUGGGCCCGCGUUGGAUUUCUGGCGGAAUCGCCCUCGGGGUCGUUUGGGUUUGGAGGCUUCCGCCUUGCAGGGGGUUUCACAGGGUUGCAGCCUCGCUCGGGCCCAGGCCAGUGCGGAUACUCGGGCCAGGGCAGCUUCGGGUUCAAGGAGGGUCGGCUUCUGAGCCGCUGCGACCGCCGCCCCCGCCCUGCACUGCACCCGCCUCCGGGGGUGGGGGAGGGGUACUUGCCGCGGAACGGGGUCUCCGAGGACCCUGGCCCGGAGAACGGAGGGAGAAGAAGGGACAGCAGUGAGGGCCGUGCAGGGCCACCCCUAAAUGCCCCUCGACCGGCUCGCGUCCUGCCAAGGGCAAUGUGCAGAAGCCCUGGGCGCGGGUGGAGUGGGACAGUUCUGGAAAAUUCUGGCCCUUCUGGGGGUCUGGGAUAGUUGGGAAAGGGAGAAAAUGGGGCAGGGCGCCCAGGGGGCGGGGGCGGGCGCUGGGCUCGGUGGGGUCUCCGGGGAGCAGCCGUUACUCCUGGCGCCCCCCGUCCGCCUUUAGCGAUGGUUUGGGAACCCGGGCGCUGGAAAGGCGCGGGUGCGGAGGGCGGCUGAGCCGCGCGGCUGCGGCACCGUGGGCGCGAGACCCCUGCGGAGAGGAGCGCGCGGACGCCGGGGGAAGCGCCUCGGGGCGGCUGGAGGCGCAGCACCCUGGGGGAGCCGGGGCGCGGGAGAGACAAAACUGUUCGAACCUUCUCUCCCUUCCCCACCCCCAGCGCCCAAACCCGGGGCGGGUGAGCGCGACCCUUGCAGCGACCCCUUGCCGAGCCCUGCCCGCGCGAUUACUAAGGAGACGCGGCCUCCGGCACUGCCGUCCCCGCGCCGUUUGAAAACGGAUCCAUCAGCGGGGUAUUUGGAGAUUAUUCGCACUGAAUUUUCUGCCCGCCAAGAACGAAUAGGAUUGCCAAGCCACACCACUUUUUGGAGCCCGCUUAUUCGCGCCUAUCCACCCUCUCCUGUGCCCCAGGUUCCCUGAGCACGGGAAUCCUUUCCGGGCAUGGCCAAGUUUGUUCGGUGGCUCAGAGCGGGAAGGGAAGUGCAGUUCGACACCUGUCCAGCUGCUCCGCUUGGAGAUCAAAGGCCGGCUAUGGGCUGAGCGACAGAUUUACGGGACGGUGGUACAGAUUAAGGCGAGAACCCUGCCGGUCCUGGACUCGAGUUCGCACCCAAGGAAAGCGUACAGGUCCCUGGAAGCGGGUGGAUGUCGGAGAGGCCGAGGCAGCCUGCGCUGUGGCCAGGCAGGCUUGGUGGGCUUUAGUCUCAGUAUGUGUUCUUUAAAGUCUUGACAGGUUAUUAGUAAAGGAAGGGGCACCCCAGGGUCAUGAAGAUGCUUCUCGCUCUGGCCCAAGCAUGCUGAGGCUCGCUUAUUCCUCGGCCAGGCCCAGUAAAACAGCUCAAGCACAGCCUGGAGUCUUCCCGCAUCUGCGCGGGAGUAGAGUCUGGCUUUGGGCCCCGCGUACCCCGCAGUCGUCGGGGACCAGUUCGAGGCCACGGGAAGGGUUUCCGCGGCAGGGCGCGGAGUAAAGAGGGGAAGAAGGAAUCCUCUCCGCGUGAUCAGUAGGGCGGGCUUGUGAUACUCUCACACCCAGGUUCCAGCUCAGCCCCCAAACUGCUGCCCCAAGAAAACAAGUUGGGGAGUGUGGAUUUAGACAUAACAACGGGUGUGAGCUGAUGUCCUUACAACCAAAAAUAUUGAGACUAGAAAUUCAGCUCCGAAUCCACGACCCUCAGAUUGAUGCUUAAUCGCACCCUCGACUCCAGAAAAGCUGCCGGGGACAGACAUGGACAGGUUUUGCCAAGGGUUCAUUAAAAUAGUCUGCACUGGAAUAACCGGGGUGCAAGAGAUCACGUCUUCACUCAGGGCUUUGGGGAUCCCCUCGUCGCCCCAGGUCAGUGGGUGGGGAGGAGGGCAAACUUCUGUCUUUUGUUUGUGGGUGAGGGAUGCGAAUUGUGGCAGCAGCCGAGAAAAGGGGGGAAAUUAAUUGCAGCCAAUUAAUAAUUAAUCCCCUUUAAACAGCUUUAUUAUCUCUUCUGGGCGACAGAGAUUUGUCUGAUAACCCCCUGAAGACCAAAUGUCAAGUUUAACCAAAUAGUUAUUGCUUUAUCAACCCGAGU